This 478-nucleotide ribosomal RNA is filed under the name uncultured bacterium. RNAcentral's name for it is "partial 16S ribosomal RNA". It matches the Rfam family "Bacterial small subunit ribosomal RNA", at positions 28 to 523 of the family's 1533-position model. The record is from RNAcentral.
GACGAACGCUGGCGGCGUGCUUAACACAUGCAAGUCGAACGGUAAGGCCCUUCGGGGUACACGAGUGGCGAACGGGUGAGUAACACGUGGGUGAUCUGCCCUGCACAUCGGGAUAAGCCUGGGAAACUGGGUCUAAUACCGGAUAGGACCCUGGGAUGCAUGUCCUGGGGUGGAAAGCUUUUGCGGUGUGGGAUGGGCCCGCGGCCUAUCAGCUUGUUGGUGGGGUGAUGGCCUACCAAGGCGACGACGGGUAGCCGGCCUGGGAGGGUGACCGGCCACACUGGGACUGAGAUACUGCCCAGACUCCUACGGGAGGCAGCAGUGGGGAAUAUUGCACAAUGGGCGCAAGCCUGAUGCAGCGACGCCGCGUGAGGGAUGACGGCCUUCGGGUUGUAAACCUCUUUCAGCACCGACGAAGCGCAAGUGACGGUAGGUGCAGAAGAAGGACCGGCCAACUACGUGCCAGCCGCCGCCGUAA